RNAcentral lists this ribosomal RNA (254 nucleotides) under uncultured bacterium. Its description in RNAcentral is "partial 16S ribosomal RNA". It matches the Rfam family "Bacterial small subunit ribosomal RNA", at positions 524 to 776 of the family's 1533-position model. The record is from RNAcentral.
UACGGGGGGAGCAAGCGUUGUUCGGAUUUACUGGGCGUAAAGGGCGCGUAGGCGGCCACCGCAAGUCGACUGUGAAAUCUCCGGGCUUAACCCGGAAAGGUCAGCCGAUACUGCGGGGCUAGAGUGCAGAAGGGGCAACUGGAAUUCUCGGUGUAGCGGUGAAAUGCGUAGAUAUCGGGUGGAACACCUGUGGCGAAGGCGGCCAUCUGGACGUUCACUGACGCUGAGACGCGAAAGCGUGGGUAGCAAACAGG